UUCUUUUCCAGGCUAGCUUGUCGCAGGGCACUGGACACAGUUCCCUGAGCCACACUGCAGGACCGUGUUGCCUGUCCAUCCUGCGUGUAAUGGUUUGCUCUGCUAAUUCCACUUUCCCAGUCCUUCCUCCCCCACCCCCUGAACUCCUCUGGUUUGGACUUGAUGCUGGGGACCCCUCUUCCUCUGGAGGGGCGCCCACAGUCCACCUGACUAAGCCUGGGCCUCACACGAAAAUUAAGGUUCCCACACUCGACGUGGUUCAUCAGCUCAGAAACCUACUUUGCACCUCACCCCUGUCCCAGCCACCUGGGAAGGUCUCUACACUCACUUGUGCAAAAGUGAGACCGCCGUGACCAAGGUUGUCGUACAGUCACCAUCUGGAGCCCCGUAUUCUCCUUGUGAACAGUCGAGUGUCUGCGACCGGAGGCCUGUCCUCCAUGCUUGCUAGAAGCAGCUCUGCGCUCCAUCCUCCUGGGGCAGAGGAGAGAUGCCCGAGGAGUGUUUUCAGCUCCACGUCCUCCCCGAGAGACCAGGCUGUGGCCACUUCCAGAGGCGGCUUUGGGAGGCGACCUGCCAGUGGUUGGGCCUGGAAGCCCAGAGACAAUAUGCGAUAUUUUAAGGUGAGCUUGUCAACUUUGACCCAAACGUGUACAAAGUACAGAAUCAGUGUCUUUCACUGAUGAUUAAUUAAAAUGUUACAAGAGAAUUCGUUGGAACUGGCCACUUAAAAAAGAUUGAAAAGGAAUUCUGGAAAUGCAGUCACCCCAAUUCAUUUUAAUAAAGAUUAGAAACGGGUCCCCUGACUUUGAAGAAACGGAUACCUGCUCUCUCUUUCUGCCUGCAUAACCGAUGACCAGCUUCCGCACGAGAGACUGGAAGGAGGCACGGAGUCCUUUAGAAACGGGCUACCCUGGCUGCGGGACUGAUAGUCAAGCCCGAAGAGAUCAAUCAAUCGGCAAGAAGAUGCUCACUUGUCAUCCAACGCUUUAAUUAUUGAUAAACCUGUGUUCCCUUCAAAGUGAGCUUAUAAGGGGUCACAGUGGAGAAUUCUACUUCAGCACUGUUUUAGUUCAGAAGGAGGUGAAAGCAGAAAUUUGGGAUUGGGAAAAACAGUUCUCUAUGUUUAUUACUUAUAUGAAAACUUGAAUCGAAUAAAAUAUACAUUUUAACAA
This is a long non-coding RNA of Bubalus bubalis (water buffalo), 1172 nucleotides long. RefSeq lists it as uncharacterized. The transcript is spliced from 3 exons. NCBI's taxonomy places the organism in Eukaryota, Metazoa, Chordata, Mammalia, Artiodactyla, Bovidae. The record is from RefSeq and is a predicted model, not a curated record.